CAGAACUGACCUCACGAGGAUAGAUAUAAAAAGUGGCAAGUGCUGCUGUUACUUUUUUGGGUAUUCUAUCCAAAAGUCACCGGCAAAUUUACAAGAUGCUACCUACAGGCAAUGCAAACAAUAUUAUUUUUAAUUUUUUAAAAAAGUCAUAAACAGAAUUUAAUAAUGUGGUAAAGAGCAGUAUAAGGCAUUGGCUAGAAACCGAGUCUCACAUCUGAAAUUGACACCGGCACUCUGACAUGUGACUAAGGACAAGACACCUUUCCUUAGUGACUUUGUCUCAUCACCUGGACCUACUUCUCAGGGAUGUUGUGAGGAUUACAGAAGUUAUUACACAGGAUAGUGCACGAAUUGAGCACAGAGCCUGGAACACAACAUUGACGAUGGGAACGUAAUGCUGUCCAUGACUCCACAAGGAAAGGACAACUGGAAGCUUCAUGUUUGGAACUUUCCUGGAAUCUAGCUUGUGUGCCUCUUCCCUUGGUUGAUUUUCAUCUGUGUACCUUAGUUGUAAUAAACUAUAACCAUGAGUUACCAGC
RNAcentral lists this long non-coding RNA (539 nucleotides) under Equus asinus (donkey). RNAcentral describes it as "lncRNA (ENSEASG00005025084.1)". Lineage: Eukaryota; Metazoa; Chordata; Mammalia; Perissodactyla; Equidae. The record is from RNAcentral.